UACGUAGGGGGCAAGCGUUGUCCGGAAUUAUUGGGCGUAAAGCGCACGUAGGCGGCUUUCUAAGUCGGGGGUGAAAUCCUGGAGCUCAACUCCAGAACUGCCUUCGAUACUGGAGAGCUCGAGUCCGGGAGAGGUGGGUGGAACUGCGAGUGUAGAGGUGAAAUUCGUAGAUAUUCGCAAGAACACCAGUGGCGAAGGCGGCUCACUGGCCCGGUACUGACGCUGAGGUGCGAAAGCGUGGGGAGCAAACAGG
RNAcentral lists this ribosomal RNA (253 nucleotides) under uncultured bacterium. Its description in RNAcentral is "partial 16S ribosomal RNA". It matches the Rfam family "Bacterial small subunit ribosomal RNA", at positions 524 to 776 of the family's 1533-position model. The record is from RNAcentral.